Molecule: small RNA, 84 nt
Filed under: Flavobacterium sp. 9R
Lineage: Bacteria; Pseudomonadati; Bacteroidota; Flavobacteriia; Flavobacteriales; Flavobacteriaceae
Description: Flavo-1
Rfam family: Flavo-1 RNA
Source: RNAcentral
UGCUAGCCCCGGUAGUAGCCGCAUCCUUUGUGGUCUCGUUUUUGAAACGAGAUAGCAAAGAUACAGCGGAUGACGGGAUUUUGC